Molecule: ribosomal RNA, 460 nt
Filed under: uncultured bacterium
Lineage: Bacteria
Description: partial 16S ribosomal RNA
Rfam family: Bacterial small subunit ribosomal RNA
Source: RNAcentral
CCUACGGGGCGCUGCAGUGAGGAAUAUUGGUCAAUGGACGAGAGUCUGAACCAGCCAAGUAGCGUGAAGGAUGACUGCCCUAUGGGUUGUAAACUUCUUUUAUAUGGGAAUAAAAUGUUCCACGUGUGGGAUUUUGUAUGUACCAUAUGAAUAAGGAUCGGCUAACUCCGUGCCAGCAGCCGCGGUAAUACGGAGGAUCCGAGCGUUAUCCGGAUUUAUUGGGUUUAAAGGGAGCGUAGGUGGAUUGUUAAGUCAGUUGUGAAAGUUUGCGGCUCAACCGUAAAAUUGCAGUUGAAACUGGCAGUCUUGAUUACAGUAGAGGUGGGCGGAAUUCGUGGUGUAGCGGUGAAAUGCUUAGAUAUCACGAAGAACUCCGAUUGCGAAGGCAGUUCACUGGACUGCAACUGACACUGAGGCUCGAAAGUGUGGGUAUCAAACAGGAUUAGAUACCCGGGUAGUC